UGACGAAAGGAGGCCUUCGGGCUUUCGCUGGAGGAGGGGCUUGCGUCUGAUUAGCUGGUUGGAGGGGUAACGGCCCACCAAGGCGACGAUCAGUAGCCGGUCUGAGAGGAUGAACGGCCACAUUGGGACUGAAACACGGCCCAGACUCCUACGGGAGGCAGCAGUGGGGAAUCUUCCGCAAUGGACGAAAGUCUGACGGAGCAACGCCGCGUGAACGAUGACGGCCUUCGGGUUGUAAAGUUCUGUUAUAUGGGACGAAAGGAAUGGUUAAUACCCGGUGUCUUUGACGGUACCGUAAGAGAAAGCCACGGCUAACUACGUGCCAGCAGCCGCGGUAAUACGUAGGUGGCAAGCGUUGUCCGGAAUAUUGGGCGUAAGGGCGCGCAGGCGGCAUCGCAAGUCGGUCUUAAAAGUGCGGGGCUUAACCCCGUGAGGGGACCGAAACUGUGAAGCUCGAGUGUCGGAGAGGAAAGCGGAAUUCCUAGUGUAGCGGUGAAAUGCGUAGAUAUUAGGAGGAACACCAGUGGCGAAAGCGGCUUU
This 540-nucleotide ribosomal RNA is filed under the name uncultured bacterium. RNAcentral's name for it is "bacterial SSU rRNA". It matches the Rfam family "Bacterial small subunit ribosomal RNA", at positions 198 to 728 of the family's 1533-position model. The record is from RNAcentral.